Long non-coding RNA from Stegodyphus dumicola, 682 nucleotides. The record is from RefSeq and is a predicted model, not a curated record. Lineage: Eukaryota; Metazoa; Arthropoda; Arachnida; Araneae; Eresidae.
AGUUGCGCGUAGUAACUAAAUUUAGUAAAAAUACGCCUCAGGGCGAAUAUUAAGAGUCUCAAGGAAAAGCUAACUUUCAUCCGCAAGAUAAAUUACCCGCCAGAUCUGUAACAUAAGAUAGAAACAUAAACUCGUCUAUAACACAAGACUAAAGCUCCUUUAAAGGGUAUUUCUAAUAGCUUUACAUAAGAUGUCCUUAAAGGAGCCAAAAUGGCGCCAGCAAGACUGUUCGCUGGAGAAUAUUUGAAAAUUGUCCACUAGACCACCCCCCUACGGGCAGAAAGAUGUAGCGAGUAUUAAAUGAGCUCGCUUAUUCGAUGUGUUUGGUAACAAUAAAUUUAAAGAUGCUUUUUUGUUCCUCUCCACGUUAGUUAAGUAAUACGUUUUUUUUUAUUUCGUCAGUGAUCUUGUUAGCACUAUUAGUAAAUUAUGGAAUACUUUGAAAUAUAGGAGUUGAAUUUUAUACCUAUUUAAGAGAAAUGUAGAUGACCUGUGUAACAUAAAUGUACUCCACUUGCUUGGCAGCUCAGGAAUCUGAAUGUUCUGGAAAAGUGGAAUUCGCCGAAACCAGGUAUUUUUAGCUUUCAAAUACAUUUUAGCCUUUCGAAAAUGUGAAAUAUAUAUUGUUUGCAUGUUUGACAGACAAAAAAAAAAAAAAAAAAAAAAAAAAAAAAAAAAAAAA